Long non-coding RNA from Eupeodes corollae, 1597 nucleotides. RefSeq lists it as uncharacterized. The record is from RefSeq and is a predicted model, not a curated record. The transcript has 3 exons. NCBI's taxonomy places the organism in Eukaryota, Metazoa, Arthropoda, Insecta, Diptera, Syrphidae.
UCAUCCGUCGCUGAUGUUUGUAGCUACUGUCAAUCGGAAGUCGAAUAAAAACGCACGCCAACUAUGUUAAAUCCAAGAGAACAUGUACUGCUUGCUUCUGCAAGCAAAAGGCUUUAACUGAUGCUAGUUUUGCAUACAAAUAUCAGGUUCCCUUAGACUUUAUAUACAAAGCUAUGUUCGUUUUGCCUGCCUACGCAGCGUUGUAUAUACAUAUGCCAAAGGUAAUCAACAACAACAACGAACGCUGCCAACAGGUAACAUUCAGAGUAGCAACCUGUCCGGCCGGCCGGCCGGCCGGCUCUGCAGGCCGUCCAUUCAGCCCGGUUGACGUUGAAGGUUUUGUUUGGAUGAAGACAACCUUGACUUUGACAUCUUCAGUUUGCAUUCAGUGUGACGUAACAAUUGUGGAGUUCAGUUGUAAAGUUGAAAAGCACACACGUCAGUAGUAUGACAAGCGUGCAUAUUUGUGGGAGUACUGGAAUCAAAAGGAAGAUAGUGUCACUUAAAAAUAAAAACUAAUUAGGUGUCGCUUUUCAUGACAAGAAUUUCUUUUGUGUGGGUUAUUACUUUCACUCCACAGAGAGCGCCGUUAGGUAGCACAUCAAGCAGGGAUUGGAUACAAGACCUCUAGCAUGAUAGUCCAACAAACUAACCAUAACGCUACGGAAACUUUAGACUGAGAAUCGACCCACACUGAUAACUUCCCGUUCGUGAGCGUCAGCCGCCAUCGGAAUCAUGCUUGUGUUUUAACCUUUUUCAAUAUUUUGAAGAAACUUUCAGCUAAUGUUUAGAGAACCCCGCAGUGGUGGUCCAGAUAAGUUUGUAAGAGACUUAUGUAUUUAAUUAAAAAUGUCUAGUAUUAGUGGUAACAUAAUUGAUAAAUUGAUUUUAUAUUAGCAGAAGUUUAAAGAUUGAAGAUUUAUUAGUUUUUAUGUGAUAUGCAUUUAUUUCAUUUAUUGCCCUGAAAGCUUGUUUCGUAUCAAUUUGUUUGACUGCACUAAAAAUAAACAUCAAGUAUAUUAUAAUUUCUUAUCGUUGGUAAAUAAAGUUGAUUCUAUUUUUUAAAUUGCUAUUCAGUGCAAAUAAAUAACUUUUUUUUGAUUUUGUCUGUUAAAUGUUUACUUCUACCUAUUUAUUUUAUAUUUGUAUAUAUUUAUAUACGUGAGAAUAAUAUAUAUUAUUAAAAAAAAGAAAACAUAGUUUACAACGAACGUCACAUCAUUGAUGUGGCUGCAUCAGUGCAUACAAUUCCAACCGAUUCUUGGAUGCCAUUUAGUUUCUGUUUGUUAUUCAUGGAAAUAUAAUUGAUUCGUAAAAAGUAAAAUUGUAUGCUUAAGAAAUUAACAGGUGAAUAAAAUAUGAAGGAUUAUUUACAAAGUUAUUAAAUCAUUCCUUGUUUUUGUUUUACUCAGAUAAACUUUUGUUAUAGUCAUGGACAAUUUAAGAAAACUUUAUAUUUCUUUAAUAAAGCAGCAUUAUUGAAGAGCAACGACAUACAACACGGUUUGUCCAUUUUAUUUUUUUUAUGAAGUCAGGUUAAAAAAAUAUCAAUACGAUCCCAACUAAAUGAAAAUUUAAAAACAAUAUAAAAAGAACA